Molecule: ribosomal RNA, 810 nt
Filed under: uncultured Actinomycetes bacterium
Lineage: Bacteria; Bacillati; Actinomycetota; Actinomycetes
Description: bacterial SSU rRNA
Rfam family: Bacterial small subunit ribosomal RNA
Source: RNAcentral
ACUCCUACGGGAGGCAGCAGUGGGGAAUAUUGCGCAAUGGGGGAAACCCUGACGCAGCGACGCCGCGUGCGGGAUGAAGGCCUUCGGGUUGUAAACCGCUUUCAGCAGGGGCGAAGACGGUACCUGCAGAAGAAGCGCCGGCUAACUACGUGCCAGCAGCCGCGGUAAUACGUAGGGCGCGAGCGUUGUCCGGAAUUAUUGGGCGUAAAGAGCUCGUAGGCGGCCAGUUGCGUCCGCUGUGAAAUCCCAGGGCUCAACCCUGGGCGUGCAGUGGAUACGGGCUGGCUAGAGGCAGGCAGGGGAGAACGGAAUUCCCGGUGUAGCGGUGAAAUGCGCAGAUAUCGGGAGGAACACCGGUGGCGAAGGCGGUUCUCUGGGCCUGUUCUGACGCUGAGGAGCGAAAGCGUGGGGAGCAAACAGGAUUAGAUACCCUGGUAGUCCACGCCGUAAACGUUGGGCGCUAGGUGUGGGUCCCUUCCACGGGGUCUGUGCCGCAGCUAACGCAUUAAGCGCCCCGCCUGGGGAGUACGGCCGCAAGGCUAAAACUCAAAGAAAUUGACGGGGGCCCGCACAAGCGGCGGAGCAUGUUGCUUAAUUCGACGCAACGCGAAGAACCUUACCAAGGUUUGACAUGGACGGAAAUCCUCCAGAGAUGGGGGGUCCUUCGGGGCCGUUCACAGGUGGUGCAUGGCUGUCGUCAGCUCGUGUCGUGAGAUGUUGGGUUAAGUCCCGCAACGAGCGCAACCCUCGUCCAAUGUUGCCAGCGGGUAAUGCCGGGGACUCAUUGGAGACUGCCGGGGUCAACUCGGA